This 850-nucleotide ribosomal RNA is filed under the name uncultured Acidobacteriaceae bacterium. RNAcentral's name for it is "bacterial SSU rRNA". It matches the Rfam family "Bacterial small subunit ribosomal RNA", at positions 52 to 939 of the family's 1533-position model. The record is from RNAcentral. Lineage: Bacteria; Pseudomonadati; Acidobacteriota; Terriglobia; Terriglobales; Acidobacteriaceae.
UACCAUGCAGUCGCACGAGAAAGUGGAGCAUCCAUGAGUACAGUGGCGUACGGGUGAGUAACACGUGGAUAAUCUACCUCUUAGUGGGGAAUAACUUUGGGAAACCGAAGCUAAUACCGCAUAAGCCUGGAAAGGGAAAGCAGCAAUGCGCUGAGAGAGGAGUCCGCGGCCGAUUAGCUAGUUGGCAGGGUAACAGCCUACCAAGGCAUUGAUCGGUAGCCGGCCUGAGAGGGCACACGGCCACACUGGCACUGAAACACGGGCCAGACUCCUACGGGAGGCAGCAGUGGGGAAUCUUGCACAAUGGGGGCAACCCUGAUGCAGCGACGCCGCGUGAGCGAUGAAGCCCUUCGGGGUGUAAAGCUCUUUCGGCAGGAACGAUAAUGACGGUACCUGAAGAAGAAGCUGCGGCUAACUACGUGCCAGCAGCCGCGGUAAUACGUAGGCAGCAAGCGUUGUUCGGAGUUACUGGGCGUAAAGGGUGUGUAGGUGGUUUUCUAAGUUUGGUGUGAAAUCUCCCGGCUCAACUGGGAGGGUGCGCCGAAAACUGGAAGGCUUGAGUAUGGGAGAGGAAAGCGGAAUUCCUGGUGUAGCGGUGAAAUGCGUAGAUAUCACGAGGAACACCUGCGGUGCAGACGGCUUUCUGGACCAUCACUGACACUGAAACACGAAAGCGUGGGGAGCAAACAGGGAUUAGAUACCCUGGUAGUCCACGCCCUAAACGAUGCAUACUUGGUGUGAGCGAUUCAUUUCGUUCGUGCCGGAGCUAACGCGUUAAGUAUGCCGCCUGGGAGUACGGUCGCAAGGCUGAAACUCAAGGAAUUGACGGGGCCCGCACAGCGGUGGAGCA